GACGAACGCUGGCGGCGUGCUUAACACAUGCAAGUCGAACGGAAAGGCCCUGCUUUUGUGGGGUGCUCGAGUGGCGAACGGGUGAGUAACACGUGAGUAACCUGCCCUUGACUUUGGGAUAACUUCAGGAAACUGGGGCUAAUACCGGAUAGGAGCUCCUGCUGCAUGGUGGGGGUUGGAAAGUUUGGGCGGUUGGGGAUGGACUCGCGGCUUAUCAGCUUGUUGGUGGGGUAGUGGCUUACCAAGGCUUUGACGGGUAGCCGGCCUGAGAGGGUGACCGGCCACAUGGGGACUGAGAUACGGCCCAGACUCCUACGGGAGGCAGCAGUGGGGAAUAUUGCACAAUGGGCGGAAGCCUGAUGCAGCAACGCCGCGUGCGGGAUGACGGCCUUCGGGUUGUAAACCGCUUUCGCCUGUGACGAAGCGUGAGUGACGGUAAUGGGUAAAGAAGCACCGGCUAACUACGUG
RNAcentral lists this ribosomal RNA (468 nucleotides) under uncultured bacterium. RNAcentral's name for it is "partial 16S ribosomal RNA". It matches the Rfam family "Bacterial small subunit ribosomal RNA", at positions 28 to 507 of the family's 1533-position model. The record is from RNAcentral.